This 1199-nucleotide ribosomal RNA is filed under the name Salmonella enterica. RNAcentral's name for it is "partial 23S ribosomal RNA". It matches the Rfam family "Bacterial large subunit ribosomal RNA", at positions 1736 to 2925 of the family's 2925-position model. Lineage: Bacteria; Pseudomonadati; Pseudomonadota; Gammaproteobacteria; Enterobacterales; Enterobacteriaceae. The record is from RNAcentral.
UGACACGUAGGUGAAGUGAUUUACUCAUGGAGCUGAAGUCAGUCGAAGAUACCAGCUGGCUGCAACUGUUUAUUAAAAACACAGCACUGUGCAAACACGAAAGUGGACGUAUACGGUGUGACGCCUGCCCGGUGCCGGAAGGUUAAUUGAUGGGGUCAGCGCAAGCGAAGCUCCUGAUCGAAGCCCCGGUAAACGGCGGCCGUAACUAUAACGGUCCUAAGGUAGCGAAAUUCCUUGUCGGGUAAGUUCCGACCUGCACGAAUGGCGUAAUGAUGGCCAGGCUGUCUCCACCCGGGACUCAGUGAAAUUGAACUCGCUGUGAAGAUGCAGUGUACCCGCGGCAAGACGGAAAGACCCCGUGAACCUUUACUAUAGCUUGACACUGAACACUGGUCCUUGAUGUGCAGGAUAGGUGGGAGGCUUUGAAGUGUGGACGCCAGUCUGCAUGGAGCCGUCCUUGAAAUACCACCCUUUAAUGGCUGGUGUUCUAACGUAGACCCGUGAACCGGGUUGCGGACAGUGUCUGGUGGGUAGUUUGACUGGGGCGGUCUCCUCCUAAAGCGUAACGGAGGAGCACGAAGGUUGGCUAAUCCUGGUCGGACAUCAGGAGGUUAGUGCAAUGGCAUAAGCCAGCUUGACUGCGAGCGUGACGGCGCGAGCAGGUGCGAAAGCAGGUCAUAGUGAUCCGGUGGUUCUGAAUGGAAGGGCCAUCGCUCAACGGAUAAAAGGUACUCCGGGGAUAACAGGCUGAUACCGCCCAAGAGUUCAUAUCGACGGCGGUGUUUGGCACCUCGAUGUCGGCUCAUCACAUCCUGGGGCUGAAGUAGGUCCCAAGGGUAUGGCUGUUCGCCAUUUAAAGUGGUACGCGAGCUGGGUUUAGAACGUCGUGAGACAGUUCGGUCCCUAUCUGCCGUGGGCGCUGGAGAACUGAGGGGGGCUGCUCCUAGUACGAGAGGACCGGAGUGGACGCAUCACUGGUGUUCGGGUUGUCAUGCCAAUGGCACUGCCCGGUAGCUAAAUGCGGAAGAGAUAAGUGCUGAAAGCAUCUAAGCACGAAACUUGCCCCGAGAUGAGUUCUCCCUGAGACUACAAGUCUCCUGAAGGAACGUUGAAGACGACGACGUUGAUAGGCCGGGUGUGUAAGCGCAGCGAUGCGUUGAGCUAACCGGUACUAAUGAACCGUGAGGCUUAACCUUACA